UACGUAGGGUGCAAGCGUUGUCCGGAAUUAUUGGGCGUAAAGAGCUCGUAGGCGGCUUGUCGCGUCGGCUGUGAAAACCUGGGGCUCAACUCCGGGCCUGCAGUCGAUACGGGCAGACUGGAGUUCGGCAGGGGAGACUGGAAUUCCUGGUGUAGCGGUGAAAUGCGUAGAGAUCCGGAGGAACACCAAAGGCGAAGGCAGUGUCCUGGGGAGUACCUGACGCUCAGGUGCGAAAGCCAGGGGAGCGAACGGG
This 253-nucleotide ribosomal RNA is filed under the name uncultured bacterium. RNAcentral describes it as "partial 16S ribosomal RNA". It matches the Rfam family "Bacterial small subunit ribosomal RNA", at positions 524 to 776 of the family's 1533-position model. The record is from RNAcentral.